This 442-nucleotide ribosomal RNA is filed under the name uncultured bacterium. RNAcentral describes it as "bacterial SSU rRNA". It matches the Rfam family "Bacterial small subunit ribosomal RNA", at positions 338 to 796 of the family's 1533-position model. The record is from RNAcentral.
CCUACGGGAGGCAGCAGCAAGGAAUAUUGUGCAAUGGGCGAAAGCCUGACACAGCGACGCCGCGUGAGGGAUGAAGGCCCUUGGGUUGUAAACCUCUUUUCUCAGGGAAGAAUAAUGACGGUACCUGAGGAAUAAGUCACGGCUAACUACGUGCCAGCAGCCGCGGUAAUACGUAGGUGGCGAGCGUUAUCCGGAUUUAUUGGGCGUAAAGAGGGCGUAGGCGGCCUUUCAAGUCGGAUGUAAAAUCUCCCGGCUCAACUGGGAGGGACCAUGCGAUACUGUUAGGCUAGAGGGCAGCAGAGGGAGGUGGAAUUCCCGGUGUAGUGGUGAAAUGCGUAGAUAUCGGGAGGAACACCAGUGGCGAAGGCGGCCUCCUGGGCUGCUACUGACGCUGAGGCCCGUAAGCGUGGGGAGCAAACAGGAUUAGAUACCCUAGUAGUCC